RNAcentral lists this ribosomal RNA (1962 nucleotides) under human gut metagenome. Its description in RNAcentral is "bacterial LSU rRNA". It matches the Rfam family "Bacterial large subunit ribosomal RNA", at positions 1 to 1977 of the family's 2925-position model. The record is from RNAcentral.
GUAAAUAAUUAAGGGCGUAUGGUGGAUGCCUAGGCUCUCAGAGGCGAUGAAGGACGUGAUAAGCUGCGAAAAGCUCCGUUUAGGUGCAAAUAACCUUUGAUGCGGAGAUCUCCGAAUGGGAUAACCCAAUAUGUUGAAGACAUAUUAUACCGUAAGGUAGGCAAACGCAGGGAACUGAAACAUCUAAGUACCUGCAGGAGAAGAAAACAAAAGUGAUUCCCCCAGUAGCGGCGAGCGACCGGGGAUAAGCCCAAACCGUUAUUGUUUCGGCAGUAGCGGGGUAGUAGGACUGCGACAUUGAUGAAAUAAAUGAAAUGGAACACCUUGGAAAAUGUGAUCACAGAGGGUGAUAAUCCCGUACAUGCAAGUUUAUGAAUCAUAGCAGUAUCCUGAGUAAGUCGGGACACGUGUAAUCCUGACCGAAUCCGCCGGGACCAUCCGGCAAGGCUAAAUACUCCUGAGAGACCGAUAGUGAACCAGUACCGUGAGGGAAAGGUGAAAAGCACUUCGAACAGAAGAGUGAAAUAGUCCCUGAACCCAUACGCCUACAAGCUGUCGGAGCCGCUUCGUGCGGUGACGGCGUGCCUUUUGCAUAAUGAGCCUACGAGUUACUCAUCACCAGCGAGGUUAAGUACUUCAGGUACGUAAGCCGAAGCGAAAGCGAGUCUGAAUAGGGCGUCAAGUUGGUGGUGGUAGACGCGAAACCUUAGUGAUCUACCCAUGGGCAGGGUGAAGGUUUGGUAACACAAACUGGAGGCCCGAACCGGUAAACGUUGAAAAGUUUUCGGAUGACCUGUGGGUAGGGGUGAAAGGCCAAUCAAACUGGGAAAUAGCUCGUACUCUCCGAAAUGCAUUUAGGUGCAGCCUCUGUUGUUUUGUUCUAGAGGUAGAGCUACUGAUUGGAUGCGAGGGCUUCACCGCCUAUCAAAUCCGGCCAAACUCCGAAUGCUAGAACAUGAAGACAGGGAGUGAGCCAGCGGGUGCUAAGGUCCGUUGACGAAAGAGGGAGAACUCAGACCAUCAGCUAAGGUCCCCAAUUAUAUGCUAAGUUGGAAUUAAAACGGGGUGGGACUGCUUAGACAGCUAGGAUGUUGGCUUGGAAGCAGCCAUUCAUUUAAAGAGUGCGUAACAGCUCACUAGUCGAGCGGUCCUGCAUGGAUAAUACGCGGGCAUAAGCAUAUAACCGAAGCUAUGGGAUUGUAGAUGAUACAAUCGGUAGGAGAGCAUUCCAUUCAGCGUAGAAGCAGUAUCGUGAGGUAUUGUGGAGCGGAUGGAAAAGCAAAUGUAGGCAUAAGUAACGAUAAUGCGGGUGAGAACCCCGCACGCCGAAAGAUCAAGGAUUCCCCGGCAAUGUCAAUCAUCCGGGGGUAAGUCGGAUCCUAAGGGUAAGCCGAGUGGCGAUCCCGAUGGCAAACAGGUUAAUAUUCCUGUACUGAUCAUAACUGCGAUGCAGCGACGCAGAGGUGACACUGCUGCGUACUGACGGAAUAGUACGUUGAAACCCGUAUUCUUUGAUACCGGUAGUGAAGCACGCCGGUAGAGAUGAAAGGUGAUAGUACCGCAAUGCUUCGGUUGCGCGGAUAACGCAGGUAAGCUGACUGCCAAGAAAACCUGCUAAGCUUCAGGUAAUGAUCAUCCGUACUGUAAACGGACACACGUGAUCAGGUAGAAAAUACUAAGGCGCUCGAGAGAUUCAUGGUUAAGGAACUAGGCAAAAUGGUCCUGUAACUUCGGGAUAAAGGACGCUCUUGUGAAAGAGCCGCAGAUAAUAGGCCCAGGCGACUGUUUACCAAAAACACAUGGCUAUGCUAAUUCGCAAGAAGAUGUAUAUGGCCUGACACCUGCCCGGUGCCGGAAGGUUAAGAGGAGAGCUCAGAGGCAACUCGAAGGUUUGAAUUGAAGCCCCGGUAAACGGCGGCCGUAACUAUAACGGUCCUAAGGUAGCGAAAUUCCUUGUCGGGU